UACGGAGGGUGCAAGCGUUGUCCGGAUUUAUUGGGUGUAAAGGGUGCGUAGGCGGCCCUGUAAGUCAGUGGUGAAAGCCUCCAGCUCAACUGGAGAACUGCCAUUGAUACUGCAGGGCUUGAGUACAGACGAGGUUGGCGGAAUUGAUAGUGUAGCGGUGAAAUGCAUAGAUACUAUCAAGAACUCCGAUUGCGUAGGCAGCUAACUAGGCUGUAACUGACGCUGAGGCACGAAAGCGUGGGGAGCGAACAGG
RNAcentral lists this ribosomal RNA (253 nucleotides) under uncultured bacterium. RNAcentral's name for it is "partial 16S ribosomal RNA". It matches the Rfam family "Bacterial small subunit ribosomal RNA", at positions 524 to 776 of the family's 1533-position model. The record is from RNAcentral.